This 426-nucleotide long non-coding RNA is filed under the name Dromaius novaehollandiae (emu). RNAcentral's name for it is "lncRNA (ENSDNVG00000009578.1)". Lineage: Eukaryota; Metazoa; Chordata; Aves; Casuariiformes; Dromaiidae. The record is from RNAcentral.
CCCCCCCCAAUGGUUAUUUGUUUCUUUUUUCAUCCUCCAGAACAAAGCUUGUUCCAAAUUUUGGUGGUUUUUCUCAUUUGAUGAUGUCAGCUGUGACUUCUCAACUACUAUGAGUUGCAGUGAGCUAAACAGUGGAAUUUUGUGUUGACAUCUAAUAUUACUUGCUGGGAUAAAUUGUGAUCUAUGAAGUCCAAGUAGAGCAGAAGACCACAAUUACUGUAAAGAAGCUGUCCACUCAUUACUGCAAGCUCUGGGGAAAAGGAGGAGUGACAGAAUAUAGACUGAUAUCGGAGAGGUCGGUGUGUGGCAUCCUUGUGUACAUGCCACCCCUGGAGCAGGAUCACGGAGUAGGAUGUGUUUGCCACAUGCCUGAUCUGCGUUGCUGAAUAAGGUACAGUGAGGGAUUGCUUAAACAACGCAGCUCUG